GAAGUCUAACAUGUGCGCGAGUCAUUGGGUUAUAAAACCUAAAGGCGGAAUGAAAGUGAAGGAAGCUUUGCUCUCUGAGGGAGGAUGGGGACGUCGGCUCAAAGGGCGGUCCCCCGCACUCCCGGGGCGUCUCACUCUCAUUGCGAGAAGAGGCGCACCCAGAGCGUACACGUUAGGACCCGAAAGAUGGUGAACUAUGCCUGGUCAGGACGAAGCCAGGGGAAACCCUGGUGGAGGUCCGUAGCGAUUCUGACGUGCAAAUCGAUCGUCAGAGCUGGGUAUAGGGGCGAAAGACUAAUCGAACCAUCUAGUAGCUGGUUCCUUCCGAAGUUUCCCUCAGGAUAGCUGGUGCCCGUGUGAGACGAGUCUCAUCCGGUAAAGCGAAUGAUUAGAGGCCUUGGGGCCGAAACGACCUCAACCUAUUCUCAAACUUUAAAUAGAUGAGAACUCCGGCUUGCUUGAAAGUGAAGCCGGAGACUCGGAUCAAGGGUGCCCAGUGGGCCAAUUUUG
Molecule: ribosomal RNA, 510 nt
Filed under: Naucoris maculatus
Lineage: Eukaryota; Metazoa; Arthropoda; Insecta; Hemiptera; Naucoridae
Description: eukaryotic LSU rRNA
Rfam family: Eukaryotic large subunit ribosomal RNA
Source: RNAcentral